Molecule: small nuclear RNA, 164 nt
Organism: Pseudophryne corroboree (corroboree frog)
Lineage: Eukaryota; Metazoa; Chordata; Amphibia; Anura; Myobatrachidae
Product: U1 spliceosomal RNA
Exons: 1
Source: RefSeq, a predicted model, not a curated record
AUACUUAUUUUGCAUAGGAGAUACCAUGGUCAUGAAGAUUGUUCUCCCAGGGUUAGGUUCAUUCAUUGCAUUCUGGGUAUGCUGACCCCUGUGAUUUCCCCAAAUGUGGGAAACUCACGUACGGCACGAUGAUACAUGAGGGUUGAAGCCAACUUUGACCCACU